RNAcentral lists this ribosomal RNA (243 nucleotides) under uncultured bacterium. Its description in RNAcentral is "partial 16S ribosomal RNA". It matches the Rfam family "Bacterial small subunit ribosomal RNA", at positions 118 to 346 of the family's 1533-position model. The record is from RNAcentral.
UGGGUAACCUGCCUCAAAGAGGGGAAUAGCCUCCCGAAAGGGGAGAUUAAUACCGCAUAAUAUGUUUAAGUCGCAUGACUUUAACAUCAAAGGAUUUUCUUUUAGAACUUCCACUUUGAGAUGGACCCCGCGGCGCAUUAGCUAGUUGGUGAGGUAACGGCUCACCAAGGCAACGAUGCGUAGCCGACCUGAGAGGGUGAUCGGCCACAUUGGAACUGAGACACGGUCCAGCUCCGUAGGAGG